RNAcentral lists this long non-coding RNA (1576 nucleotides) under Brassica napus (rape). RNAcentral describes it as "long non-coding RNA (BNAP_LNC020994)". Lineage: Eukaryota; Viridiplantae; Streptophyta; Magnoliopsida; Brassicales; Brassicaceae. The record is from RNAcentral.
UUAAACCUCAUGUUCUUACACUCUGAUGAUGAUGAUGUUGAAGAAAUCGAAGACCUAAGCACACGAACCAUUCCUGAUCCUUUCAACACAAUUGAGAUCUCACAAGCCCAUGGGUUCCAGUGAGGUCCCAUCAUCGAUGCUUGAGUUAGAUUCACCAUGGAGACUCCAACCAUUGAGCCGCUUAACACUUCUAGAUCCUUCCUGUUAAUCGUUAUAGUACGACCGUUAGGGCUCUGGAAGUCAGGUUCCGAUUCGAAGACAUUGAAUGUCUUUGCUUUCUUUGUCUUCUUCUCCUUCUUCUUGUUCUCCGCUGCGCUAACAUAUCCGGCAAAGAGUUUGAGUAACCGCGGUUGGAGCUGCCACGUGUAGGUGUUGGCCUCACCAGGCGUGCUCAGCAUGUCAUGCACGAUCAGUGGUGGCUGCGUACGGUUCGUCAUCAGACCAAUAAUUUCCUCAGGAACCUGAUUAAAUCUAAUGAAUCCAAUUAACACAAAGGAAAAGCGCGUCUACUAGAGUAGCUUGAGAGGCAAGGUAUACACAUAUUUGUAUCUUGCAGCUCAAGUGACCUAAUAUCAUCUCUAGUACUACAAAGUAUAAACCAUAUAUUAGCAAAUAUAUCCAUACCCCAAAAGCUGACUGGAGAAUGGUCUCAUCAAAACCAAACAAUAGAUCUGUGAUGCUCGAAUACGCACCAAAGCAAGGAUCCUGCAUCCACAAUAAGAAGAAAAAUAUAAAACAAACAAAUGAAGAAAAUUAAAUUAAAAAAAAAUACACCAAAAAAAAUAUAAAUAAAUAAAUGAAGAAAAUUAAAAUAAAUUCCUAGCUGAAGUAGUAAACCCAAUGAACACUAAUGACUCAUUUAUAAAAGACAUUUGAGCCAUUGGAUGUAACCGUGGAACUGCGAAAAUAUCUCCUUCCUCUACCUUAAACCUCAUGUUCUUACACUCUGAUGAUGAUGAUGUUGAAGAAAUCGAAGACCUAAGCACACGAACCAUUCCUGAUCCUUUCAACACAAUUGAGAUCUCACAAGCCCAUGGGUUCCAGUGAGGUCCCAUCAUCGAUGCUUGAGUUAGAUUCACCAUGGAGACUCCAACCAUUGAGCCGCUUAACACUUCUAGAUCCUUCCUGUUAAUCGUUAUAGUACGACCGUUAGGGCUCUGGAAGUCAGGUUCCGAUUCGAAGACAUUGAAUGUCUUUGCUUUCUUUGUCUUCUUCUCCUUCUUCUUGUUCUCCGCUGCGCUAACAUAUCCGGCAAAGAGUUUGAGUAACCGCGGUUGGAGCUGCCACGUGUAGGUGUUGGCCUCACCAGGCGUGCUCAGCAUGUCAUGCACGAUCAGUGGUGGCUGCGUACGGUUCGUCAUCAGACCAAUAAUUUCCUCAGGAACCUGAUUAAAUCUAAUGAAUCCAAUUAACACAAAGGAAAAGCGCGUCUACUAGAGUAGCUUGAGAGGCAAGGUAUACACAUAUUUGUAUCUUGCAGCUCAAGUGACCUAAUAUCAUCUCUAGUACUACAAAGUAUAAACCAUAUAUUAGCAAAUAUAUCCAUACCCCAAAAGCUGACUGGAGAAUGGUCUCA